ACAGACUCAGGUAAUCAUCGCUGGCCUGGGAGGACGCGGCCCUCGAAGAGUUUUGGAGCAUCUCCACACUUAGAUGUUCAAUGCCUCACGUCUACUGGGAGGGAAGGUUCAGCCCUACAUGGUGCCUACUUCUUAGCCUGACAAUGGGGUAUCCAGCGGGUGAAGCAGUUGAGAAGUGGGCAGUCGACCUUGGCUUUGCCCUCCUCCCCUGAUGUAGACCCCGAGGUGCCCCACUGAAGAUGCCUUUGGGAUGGAAAACAAGCUCUUUGAAGAUUGUUUCCCAAUUCUUACAUUUGAGGCCAGGAGGAAGUUCCGAGGACCCAUCUUUCAGGAAUUGGCCGGACGUGGGCAAAUAAAUUGGAUAUCUAUUGAUCAGCACUCCUGCCAAUAACUUGGAACAUCAUUUCCCAGUCAAUGAUUUCACAAAUGAAGACACUGCAAAAUAGUGUUCGUUGCCUGUCCACUGUAGGAACUGAUUCUAAAUGUUCACUUCAGUGUGCCUGCCAGAGGAAUACAAACCCGAUACGGGUGUACUGGCCACGCGUUGGAGAGACGAAAAGGCUUACUGAACAUUCUUAGUAAAUGUGCCAUUUGUUCCUGGUGGGUGAAGCAUUUCAUGAUUCAUGCAAUAUUGUAAAUUUUUAUUUUCUUUACAUAGACUUGGCUUUUAUUGUAAUUCCUACUCUUGGGGGAAGGUAAUAUGGAUUCAUCCAAGUUAAUAAAGCCUCUUGGAGAUAACAUCUCCAGGACUCAAGGCCAUUCUCAGGGUACAAUUAAGACAUUUGUUUGCUUGGU
Long non-coding RNA from Homo sapiens (human), 795 nucleotides. RefSeq lists it as uncharacterized. Lineage: Eukaryota; Metazoa; Chordata; Mammalia; Primates; Hominidae. The transcript has 3 exons. The record is from RefSeq and is a predicted model, not a curated record.